CCGGAUGUGGCGCAGAGGCAGGUGGCGCGCCGCCUUCUCAGGGCGGAAACGCCGGUUCGAAUCCAGCCGCCCCGCCC
RNAcentral lists this transfer RNA (77 nucleotides) under Streptomyces capitiformicae. RNAcentral's name for it is "tRNA-Glu". It matches the Rfam family "tRNA". Rfam says of the family: Transfer RNA (tRNA) molecules are approximately 80 nucleotides in length. Their secondary structure includes four short double-helical elements and three loops (D, anti-codon, and T loops). The record is from RNAcentral. Lineage: Bacteria; Bacillati; Actinomycetota; Actinomycetes; Kitasatosporales; Streptomycetaceae.